RNAcentral lists this Y RNA (102 nucleotides) under Carlito syrichta (Philippine tarsier). RNAcentral's name for it is "Y RNA (ENSTSYG00000036304.1)". It matches the Rfam family "Y RNA". Rfam says of the family: Y RNAs are components of the Ro ribonucleoprotein particle (Ro RNP), in association with Ro60 and La proteins. The record is from Rfam by way of RNAcentral. Lineage: Eukaryota; Metazoa; Chordata; Mammalia; Primates; Tarsiidae.
AGCGGGCUCAAAUGCAGUGGUGUUUACAACUAAUUGAUCACAACCAGUUACAGAUUUCUUGGUUUCUUCUCCACUCUCACCUCUUCACUUGACUAACAAAAA